UCCUACGGGAGGCAGCAGCGAGGAAUCUUGCGCAAUGGGCGAAAGCCUGACGCAGCAACGCCGCGUGGGUGAUGAAGGCCUUCGGGUUGUAAAUCCCUUUUGCCGGGGAAGAACUUUGACGGUACCCGGCGAAUAAGCCACGGCUAACUACGUGCCAGCAGCCGCGGUAAGACGUAGGUGGCAAGCGUUAUCCGGAUUUACUGGGCGUAAAGCGUACGUAGGCGGCGCCGAAAGUCUGCCGUGAAAUCUCCCGGCUCAACCGGGAGCGGCCGGUGGAAACUUCGAUGCUCGAGGGGCGUAGAGGCAAGCGGAAUUCCCGGAGUAGUGGUGGAAUGCGUAGAUACCGGGAGGAACACCAGUGGCGCAAGCGGCUUGCCAGGCGCAUCCUGACGCUGAGGUACGAAAGCGUGGGUAGCGAACCGGAUUAGAUACCCGGGUAGUCCACGCCGUAAACGAUGGAUGCUAGUCGUGGGGGGUAUCGACCCCCUCUGUGACGCAACCUAACGCAAUAAGCAUCCCGCCUGGGGAGUACGGCCGCAAGGCUAAAACUCAAAGGAAUUGACGGGGA
This 568-nucleotide ribosomal RNA is filed under the name uncultured bacterium. RNAcentral's name for it is "bacterial SSU rRNA". It matches the Rfam family "Bacterial small subunit ribosomal RNA", at positions 337 to 919 of the family's 1533-position model. The record is from RNAcentral.